RNAcentral lists this ribosomal RNA (381 nucleotides) under Meloidogyne sp. Pak.P.R.37. RNAcentral's name for it is "bacterial SSU rRNA". It matches the Rfam family "Eukaryotic small subunit ribosomal RNA", at positions 877 to 1777 of the family's 1831-position model. Lineage: Eukaryota; Metazoa; Nematoda; Chromadorea; Rhabditida; Meloidogynidae. The record is from RNAcentral.
UGUUUCAUCAGGGGCUUGGAUGGCCCGUGAGAGGGGAAUUCUUGGGGGUGGCCAGACAAACUACAGCGAAAGCAUUUCACCCCUUUCUUCAUUAAUCAAGAACGAAAGUCAGAGGUUGAAAGAAGGGGGAAAAUACCGCCCUAGUUCUGACCGUAAACGAUGCCAACUAGCGAUCCGCUGAUGGAAAUUAUAUUGCCUUGCUCUGAAGAUUCCCGGAAACGAAAGUCUUCCGGUUCCGGGUAAGGAUGGUUUCUACCGAAACUUAAAAGAAUUGUCUGUUUUUUUGUGUGUGAGUGGAGUUGUUUUUAAUUUGCCUCUACCUGCAUCCCUGCCGGACGAGGGAGUAUUGAAGAUUGAAAUUUUUCUAAUCCGGUGCGUCCU